RNAcentral lists this ribosomal RNA (271 nucleotides) under uncultured bacterium. RNAcentral's name for it is "partial 16S ribosomal RNA". It matches the Rfam family "Bacterial small subunit ribosomal RNA", at positions 524 to 794 of the family's 1533-position model. The record is from RNAcentral.
UACGUAGGGUGCAAGCGUUAAUCGGAAUUACUGGGCGUAAAGCGUGCGCAGGCGGUUUUGUAAGCCAGAUGUGAAAGCCCCGGGCUCAACCUGGGAACUGCGUUUGGAACUACAAGACUAGAGUGUGUCAGAGGGGGGUGGAAUUCCGCGUGUAGCAGUGAAAUGCGUAGAUAUUUGGAGGAACACCGGUGGCGAAGGCGGCCAUCUGGACCACUACUGACGCUGAGGCGCGAAAGCGUGGGGAGCAAACAGGAUUAGAUACCCGUGUAGU